UGGGGAAUAUUGGACAAUGGGCGCAAGCCUGAUCCAGCAAUGCCGCGUGAGUGAUGAAGGCCUUCGGGUUGUAAAGCUCUUUCGCCUGCGAGGAUGAUGACGGUAGCGGGAGAAGAAGCCCCGGCUAACUUCGUGCCAGCAGCCGCGGUAAUACGAAGGGGGCGAGCGUUGUUCGGAUUUACUGGGCGUAAAGGGCGCGUAGGCGGCGAUGUAAGUCAGGCGUGAAAGCCCCGGGCUCAACCUGGGAACUGCGCUUGGGACUACAUUGCUGGAGUUCGGGAGAGGAGCGUGGAAUUCCCAGUGUAGAGGUGAAAUUCGUAGAUAUUGGGAAGAACACCGGUGGCGAAGGCGGCGCUCUGGACCGAUACUGACGCUGAGGCGCGAAAGCGUGGGGAGCAAACAGGAUUAGAUACCCUGGUAGUCCACGCCCUAAACGAUGCAUAUUUGGUGUGGGCAGUUCAUUCUGUCCGUGCCGGAGCUAACGCGUUAAAUAUGCCGCCUGGGGAGUACAGUCGCAAGGCUG
This 523-nucleotide ribosomal RNA is filed under the name uncultured bacterium. RNAcentral describes it as "bacterial SSU rRNA". It matches the Rfam family "Bacterial small subunit ribosomal RNA", at positions 355 to 896 of the family's 1533-position model. The record is from RNAcentral.